Molecule: long non-coding RNA, 1593 nt
Organism: Chiroxiphia lanceolata (lance-tailed manakin)
Lineage: Eukaryota; Metazoa; Chordata; Aves; Passeriformes; Pipridae
Exons: 3
Source: RefSeq, a predicted model, not a curated record
AAUUUCACUGUUAAUUCACUUCCUGGCUCUGUUUUGAACCACUAAAAUGGGGUCCACCAUAGAUAUGUCUCUUCCAGAGGUGGCAAGUGGUAAAGCAACAUCAACACUAGCUCCAGGCCACUUGACACUUGGCUUUAACACCACUGAGCAGUGCUUGUCUCUUGUUUAGUGGUAUAGACAUAACAAGAGAGCUGCCCAAAGUUAAGCAUCCAGUGAUCUUGAUUUUCACCUAACCUUGCUGUUAGCCCCAAGCUUGCGCAAGCUUGCUCCUUCAUCUUUUUUACAAUUCUUCAAGAGGUAUGGGUGAGAAGUGCUGUUCAAGCGCCAAAUGUUGACUAAUUACUAUUAUUACAAACAUUGCAAGGUUGGCUUGCUGGGGGUGUUCAGUGUGAGGGUCCUAAUCACAGAUAAUGAGACAUCAGUGGGAAAUUACAUUGGUUCCUGUGGUGACACACUGCAGUAAAGAAAAUGCUUUUUUUUUCCCCUCCUAAAAGACUAAUUGCUCUGUGCUAUUGUUUAACAUCCUGCAAUUGCAAGUACUUUCACAGGAAAAGUAGUUGUUUUUUUGGAUUGGUGUGUAAGUGUGCAUUUAGAAAGGGCUUAAUGUGAAACUGUGAACAGCAAAGGAAAGUAGAAGGAAACCCAAAGGUGACAUAUGCCCCUCUUAGAGAGCCUGAGAUUCCUAUGCAUAAAUUAACAUAAUUAACCUGAGUUAUAUAUAUACAGUGUAAAGGCUAGUAUCCCAUCUACAGAAUACAACCAUGCAAACGCAGUGAAUGACUAUGCAGUGUGACAUGUCAGUACCCUCCUGUGUAUUGAACUGGAACUUAAUUCCAGAUGGCAAACAGUAAGAAAGUUUUAAAUAUGCCUUUGGAUUUUAUCAGGUUGCAGUUCUGGGAUUAUCUGGAGAAAGAUACAAUAGAAAAAGAAAAGAGGCUUAUAAUGGACAUAGUUUUAUGCACACAGAAAUAGUUUGCUACAGAAUCAUUUAAUAAAAUGUAGAAUUGUGCUAAAUGUGUUUAUUAUGAUAAUUUUCCCUACUUUUGUUAUUGCUGCAGUCUGAUGGGGAGCUGUGUGACUUCAGAUAACAUCUAGACAGUGACUUCAAGAGCAAUAACUGAAGCUGAGAGGAAGUGUUGCUACCAGGUAGACUCUCUACUCAUCACCCACUGUGGAACAGGAAAUAACCAUAUGGACAUUCAUACAUCAAACAGCAGAGAAGACUUCUGAAAUGGUAGAUUAGCAUAGUGUGUUGGGGACGGCUGGAAACUGCAGAGAUGAGCUCCAGAAACAUCUGUCUAUUUUUACUGUCUCCAUUUACUUCAAAUGGGUGGGUGUCUAGUCUUCUCUCACAAAACUCUGCUCACUGGAGGCCUCUGCAAAAUUAUGCAGGUGUGAAAUGUGUGCGAGUGGAGAGGCAGGCUGAGAUUUCCCAGCCCAUGGGAGGCACUGUAACAACUGGUUCCCGUUUGGGGUGUCCCCAGCCCAACUCCAAAGCUAAGAUCUUCUCCUGAGUGCUGUCCUCUGCUUGGAAAGCUGCAAAUGUUACAAGCCUGACAGAGGAUGAAAUUUGAUGACUACAUCACAGUAGAU